CCGCUAUACAUGCAGUCGAACGCUUCUUUUUCCACCGGAGCUUGCUCCACCGGAAAAAGAGGAGUGGCGAACGGGUGAGUAACACGUGGGUAACCUGCCCAUCAGAAGGGGAUAACACUUGGAAACAGGUGCUAAUACCGUAUAACAAUCAAAACCGCAUGGUUUUGAUUUGAAAGGCGCUUUCGGGUGUCGCUGAUGGAUGGACCCGCGGUGCAUUAGCUAGUUGGUGAGGUAACGGCUCACCAAGGCCACGAUGCAUAGCCGACCUGAGAGGGUGAUCGGCCACAUUGGGACUGAGACACGGCCCAAACUCCUACGGGAGGCAGCAGUAGGGAAUCUUCGGCAAUGGACGAAAGUCUGACCGAGCAACGCCGCGUGAGUGAAGAAGGUUUUCGGAUCGUAAAACUCUGUUGUUAGAGAAGAACAAGGAUGAGAGUAACUGUUCAUCCCUUGACGGUAUCUAACCAGAAAGCCACGGCUAACUACGUGCCAGCAGCCGCGGUAAUACGUAGGUGGCAAGCGUUGUCCNGAUUUAUUGGGCGUAAAGCGAGCGCAGGCGGUUUCUUAAAUCUGAUGUGAAA
This 581-nucleotide ribosomal RNA is filed under the name Enterococcus faecium. Its description in RNAcentral is "bacterial SSU rRNA". It matches the Rfam family "Bacterial small subunit ribosomal RNA", at positions 47 to 599 of the family's 1533-position model. Lineage: Bacteria; Bacillati; Bacillota; Bacilli; Lactobacillales; Enterococcaceae. The record is from RNAcentral.